This 497-nucleotide ribosomal RNA is filed under the name uncultured bacterium. Its description in RNAcentral is "partial 16S ribosomal RNA". It matches the Rfam family "Bacterial small subunit ribosomal RNA", at positions 28 to 507 of the family's 1533-position model. The record is from RNAcentral.
GAUGAACGCUGGCGGCGUGCCUAAUACAUGCAAGUCGAGCGAACAGACGAGGCGCUUGCUCCUCUGACGUUAGCGGAGGACGGGUGAGUAACACGUGGAAAACCUACCUAUAAGACUGGGAUAACUUCGGGAAACGGGAGCUAAUACCGGAUAAUAUAUUGAACCGCAUGGGUCAAUAGUGAAAGACGGUGUUGCGGUAACUUAUAGAUGGAUCCACGCCGCAUUAGGUAGUUGGGAAGGUAACGGGUUAUCAAGGCAAGGAGGCGUAGCCGACGUGACAGGGUGAUCGGCCGCACUAGAGCGGACACGGGGUCCAGGCUACUGCGGGAGGGAGCAGUAGGGAAUCUUCCGCAAUGGUCGAGAGCAUUGCGGAGCAGCGCCGCGUCAGUGAUGAAGGUCUUCGGAUCGUAAAACUCUGUUAUUGGGGAAGAACAAAUGUGUAAGUAACUAAGCACUGCUUGACGGUACCUAGUCAGAAAGCCACGGCUAACUACGUG